UCGCAGGAUAAAAACGCAACGUGGGCUGAGUCUUUGGUCCGCCAGAGCUGGUAGGUAGCCCAGCCGUCUGCGCCCGCGCGGCGCAGGUAAGUAACCCUCCCCUCCGGGUCGUCCGUUCCUGCGGAAUUU
RNAcentral lists this non-coding RNA (129 nucleotides) under human gut metagenome. RNAcentral's name for it is "yjdF RNA". It matches the Rfam family "azaaromatic riboswitch aptamer (yjdF RNA)". The record is from RNAcentral.